CAAUAGCGUAUACUAAUGUUGUUGCAGUUAAAAAGCUCGUAGUUGAACUUCUGGUAGGAGUGUCCCGGCCUUUUUGUUUUUACAAAUUGUAUGCUGUGUGACAUCUCUGGCCUUCCUUCUUCUUUGUUUAAAGAAGAUCUUUCACUGUAAAAAAAUUAGGGUGUUCAAAGCAAAAGUUUCUUUGGAAUAUAUUAGUAUGGGAUGAUAAGAUAGGCUCUAGAUGCUAUUUUGUUGGUUUGCACAUUUAGAGAAUGAUUAACAGGGACAGUUGGGGGUAUUCGUAUUUACAUGUCAGAGGUGAAAUUCUUGGAUUUUGGAAAGACGAACUACUGCGAAAGCAUUUACCAAGGAUGUUUUCAUUAA
Molecule: ribosomal RNA, 363 nt
Filed under: uncultured eukaryote
Lineage: Eukaryota
Description: partial 18S ribosomal RNA
Rfam family: Eukaryotic small subunit ribosomal RNA
Source: RNAcentral